GAACAAGGCCAUGGCACCCCGAACGAGCCAGAUCUUGUCUGAUCUUGGAAGCUAAGCACUGUUGGGCCCGGUUAGUACUCGGAUGGGAGACCACCCAGGAAGCCCAGGUGCUGUAGGCA
RNAcentral lists this ribosomal RNA (119 nucleotides) under Pteropus alecto (black flying fox). Lineage: Eukaryota; Metazoa; Chordata; Mammalia; Chiroptera; Pteropodidae. The record is from RNAcentral.